This 467-nucleotide ribosomal RNA is filed under the name uncultured bacterium. Its description in RNAcentral is "partial 16S ribosomal RNA". It matches the Rfam family "Bacterial small subunit ribosomal RNA", at positions 28 to 507 of the family's 1533-position model. The record is from RNAcentral.
GACGAACGCUGGCGGCGUGCUUAACACAUGCAAGUCGAACGGAAAGGCCCUGCUUUUGUGGGGUGCUCGAGUGGCGAACGGGUGAGUAACACGUGAGUAACCUGCCCUUGACUUUGGGAUAACUUCAGGAAACUGGGGCUAAUACCGGAUAGGAGCUCCUGCUGCAUGGUGGGGGUUGGAAAGUUUCGGCGGUUGGGGAUGGACUCGCGGCUUAUCAGCUUGUUGGUGGGGUAGUGGCUUACCAAGGCUUUGACGGGUAGCCGGCCUGAGAGGGUGACCGGCCACAUUGGGACUGAGAUACGGCCCAGACUCCUACGGGAGGCAGGAGUGGGGAAUAUUGCACAAUGGGCGGAAGCCUGAUGCAGCAACGCCGCGUGCGGGAUGACGGCCUUCGGGUUGUAAACCGCUUUCGCCUGUGACGAAGCGUGAGUGACGGUAAUGGGUAAGAAGCACCGGCUAACUACGUG